CGUGAGGCAAGAGCUGCACAAGCAGCAAGUGGACUGAGAUGUGACCUGUUUUCUGAAAGUUCUUCAACGGAUGAAGUGAUCACUGGUGGAUCCUCAACUUCUGCUGCCACUUGUAGAUUACUGGACCUCCUGNNNNNNNNNUUCUUCUCACUGGACUCUGGUCACAAGGAACUUUAACACAUGGAAUGCUUAUUUUGGCUGCAGCAACAAGCUUGCAACUUCCCUUUUUAUCUAAUAUGCUGUUG
This 245-nucleotide unclassified non-coding RNA is filed under the name Hevea brasiliensis (rubber tree). The record is from RNAcentral. Lineage: Eukaryota; Viridiplantae; Streptophyta; Magnoliopsida; Malpighiales; Euphorbiaceae.